UUGGUGUUCAACAAAAUAAAGGAAAAGCUUGUUGGACGAGUUUAUUUUAUGGGAUCUGGUGCUUUACCCUUGUACCCUGAUGUCAUGGACUUCCUUAGAGUGUAAGUUGGCUAUCUACUAUCUUAUAGAAUGCAAUUUAAUAAUUUUUCAUUUUUUUUUUUCUCAAGUGUUGUUAAGACCUCUGCAUAUGUAACGAAAAUCGCAGGUGCUUUGGCUGUUAAGUAAUUGAAGGAUAUGGUACGACAGAGACUUCUUGUGCCAUGAGCAUGAUGGAUGAGGGUGACAACUUAUCUGGCCACGUCGGGUCCUCUAAUCCUGCUCGUUGUGAGUUUACUAGACUUACCAUACAAAAAUGUAUAUAA
This 362-nucleotide long non-coding RNA is filed under the name Prunus dulcis (almond). RNAcentral describes it as "sRNA ncRNA". The record is from RNAcentral. Lineage: Eukaryota; Viridiplantae; Streptophyta; Magnoliopsida; Rosales; Rosaceae.